CAACCGCCGUUUUAUGGUAAUCCCAUUUUCCUUCUCGCUGUACACUUCUCGCGCGAUUUCCCAGAAAAAGCAGAAGCGCGGACAGACAUGCGAAGAAGGAGGAGAAUGACCUGAACCGACCCCACCAAACCCCGUAACCUCCCCCACCCAGACCUGUAUGCUCGACCCGGCCUACACUCGGUUGAAUCGCCCCCCCUUACACACCACUCGGCCCACCGUGUCGAUCGAGAGUGCUUUUUGUACUCUUUGGGCCGUCUCUUUAUCGGUUUGGUGAGUCGUACGCCCCCGCGAUGGCCUCGGAUUCCGAGUCGAAGCGAGUAGCAAACGAGCUCUCGUAUCCGAUUCUACUCUGCGAGCGAGUCCGUGUUGCGGUGGACGACGCCGAGUCGUUCAAGCUGGAGUGCGUCGAGGUGUUUAAGCAGGUGGACCGGCUCUCCCACAUGCUCCGGACCCUGGUCCGGUUCUCCAUCGCCACUCCCUCCCUCUAUGAGCGGCCGAUUUGGCGGGUAAUCGCCGACGUCUCCAAGAACCUGGAGCGUGCUCUAACCCUAGUCCGCAAGUGCAAGAGACGGAGCGUACUCCGCCGGGUCGUCACCAUCGUCAGCGCGGCGGAUUUCCGUAAGAUCUUCGGCCUUCUGGAAUCUUCACUCGGCGACAUGAGGUGGCUCCUGAGCAUCUUUGAUUCCGAAAAGGUAGGUGGCAUCGUCCUUUCUCUUCCACCGAUCGCCAGCAACGAUCCGAUUAUCUCCUGGGUUUGGUCCUACAUUGCUACUAUUCAAAUGGCCCAACUGACGGAACGAAUUGAAGCAGCCAAUGAACUCGCUUCGCUAGCCAGAGACAACGACAGGACCAAGCAGAUAAUCGUCGAGGAAGGUGGGGUCCCUCCAUUGCUAAAGCUCUUGAAGGAGGACGCGUCGCCGGACGCUCAGAUUGCUGGGGCGAGCGCGCUUUGCAACCUAGCGAACGACCAAGAAAGGGUGAGAAAUAUCGUGAAUGAGCUCGGGGUUCAGAUUAUAGUUCAAGUCCUCGGGGACUCGCCGUUGAAGGUUCAAUCUCAGGUAGCGACGUUGGUGGCGAGGAUGGCUGAGCAUGACCCUCUGGCGCAAGAGGAUUUCGCGAGAGAUAACGUGAUAAGGCCGCUCGUGACACUGUUGUCUUUCGAGACAUUUGCUGACGAGCAUAGAGAGCAAUCUGGCAAGCAAAGCAUUCAUUCGAUUGUUCAAAUUAAUAAGGAGAUGGAAAAGAAAUCGUUAACUAGGCCAAAUGCCGGACCAUAUACGCAUUCGCAAUCGAGCUCGCAUUACUAUUAUAAUUAUUAUCAUUCCUCGGAGGGGAGUAAGCAUAGGAGAGAGAGGGAGAACGAGAAGCCCCAACUGAAGCUUAGUUUGAAAAUUAGUUGUGCUGAGGCUUUGUGGAAGCUUGCCAAAGGGAGUGUGUCCAACAGUAGGAGGAUAACUGAGACGAAAGGGCUACUUUGUUUGGCCAAGUUGGUGGAGAAAGAAGAGGGUGAGUUGCAGUACAAUUGCUUGAUGACCAUAAUGGAGAUAACGGCUGCGGCUGAGUCCAAUGUUGACCUUAGACGUGCAGCAUUCAAGACUACUUCACCGGCUGCCAAGGCUGUUGUGGAUCAGCUGUUGAGGGUGGUUAGAGAGUUGGACAGCCCUGUCUUGCAAGUUCUGGCCAUAAAAUCGAUUGGUUCGUUGGCAAGGACAUUUCCUGCUAGAGAGACCCGGGUAAUUGGUCCGCUAGUUACUCAUCUUGGCAAUAGAAACCCCGAUGUGGCUGCAGAAGCUGUCAUUUCGUUGCAGAAGUUUGCUUGUCCGGGGAAUUUUCUUUGUAUGGAGCAUUCAAAGACAAUAAUUGAGUUCGAUGGGGUGCCGCCAUUGAUGAAAAUGCUAAGGGGCAAUGAACGGACAUUGUUGCACGGUUUGAUUCUGCUUUGCUACCUUGCAUUACACGUUGGAAAAAGUGACUCUUUGGAACAAGCAAGGGUGUUGACUGCCCUUGAGGGGGUAGACCGUACUGUGGUUGCCCAGCAUCAUGAAUUGAGAGAAUUGGUACCCAAGGCAAUAUACCACCUCAGUCUAUACCACCCGGGAGUCCAUUCCCAAAGGGACUUGUUCUCUUGAGUAGCAUUGUAUCAGAGCAUUUAAUAGAUAAUUUUGAUGAGUAAGGACUCAAAGAAUUUACAUGCAUUCAGCUUCUUGGAUGAAUUAUAAGAGGAAGUGGGUGUUCUAACAUGUCCACAUGCAUGCUGAAUUAGAGUUAAGGUAACUAUGCCCUAAAGAACCAUGGGGCAAGAUAAAAACACCUCAUAUUUUUCCUCUUGGAUCACAGUUCCCAUUCUCAUCUAAUUUUGGUUUAGUUGGAUUGACCGUGCCCUUGGUUUUCACAAGAUUGUCUUGUAAUAGCACCAGGAUAACCAAGCCAAGACACUACGAAUGUAAAUGAUGAACUGAGUGGGAAGCCUGCCUGCUAUUUGGCACCUCUUUUCUGGGAUUUUCAGUGAUUGGCUUUAUUCAUGUUUAGUUACAAAUGGUAAACUGAUCUGGAGGCUAUAACAAAGCCUGUUUGAGACACUUUGAUUUUAUACUGGGACAAAAUCAUUGUUUACAUUCUUUUGGGAGAUGUUAACCAUCCAAUGACAACUCUGUAGAUCGGUGAUGGCAUCAAAAUCGAUUUGUAAUUACAAUACAAGGCAUAUGCCAGUCACUGGCUUGCUAUGUGAAAUAUCAUCAAAGGAGGUUCGUUUUAAU
Molecule: RNA transcript, 2756 nt
Organism: Juglans regia (Persian walnut)
Lineage: Eukaryota; Viridiplantae; Streptophyta; Magnoliopsida; Fagales; Juglandaceae
Exons: 3
Source: RefSeq, a predicted model, not a curated record